This 250-nucleotide ribosomal RNA is filed under the name uncultured prokaryote. RNAcentral describes it as "partial 16S ribosomal RNA". It matches the Rfam family "Bacterial small subunit ribosomal RNA", at positions 524 to 773 of the family's 1533-position model. The record is from RNAcentral.
UACGUAGGUGGCAAGCGUUAUCCGGAUUUACUGGGUGUAAAGGGCGCGUAGGCGGGGGUGCAAGUCAGAUGUGAAAUCUAUGGGCCUAACUCAUAAACUGCAUUUGGAACUGUAUCUCUUGAGUGCUGGAGAGGUAGAUGGAAUUCCUUGUGUAGCGGUGAAAUGCGUAGAUAUAAGGAAGAACACCAGUGGCGAAGGCGAUCUACUGGAAAGUAACUGACGCUAGGGCGCGAGAGCGUGGGGAGCAAAC